AGAAUCAACGCUGGCGGCGUGCCUAACACAUGCAAGUCGCACGAGAAAGUGGAGCAAUCCACGAGUAAAGUGGCGCACGGGUGAGUAACACGUGAAUGAUCUACCUCCGAGUGGGGAAUAACUGAGAGAAAUCUUAGCUAAUACCGCAUAAUACCCACGGGUCAAAGCAGCAAUGCGCUUGGAGAGGAGUUCGCGGCCGAUUAGCUAGUUGGCGGGGUAAUGGCCCACCAAGGCGAUGAUCGGUAUCCGGCCUGAGAGGGCGCACGGACACACUGGAACUGAAACACGGUCCAGACUCCUACGGGAGGCAGCAGUGGGGAAUUUUGCGCAAUGGGGGAAACCCUGACGCAGCAACGCCGCGUGGAGGAUGAAAUCCCGUUGGGAUGUAAACUCCUUUCGAUAGGGAAGAUAAUGACGGUACCUAUAGAAGAGCCCCGGCUAACUUCGCGCCAGCAGCCGC
This 460-nucleotide ribosomal RNA is filed under the name uncultured bacterium. RNAcentral's name for it is "SSU rRNA". It matches the Rfam family "Bacterial small subunit ribosomal RNA", at positions 26 to 518 of the family's 1533-position model. The record is from RNAcentral.